CCANNCUCCGCCGCGAGGCAGCAUUNAGGAAUCAUNGACAAUGGGUUAGCGCCUGAUCCAGCCAUCCCGCGUGAAGGACGACGGCCCUAUGGGUUGUAAACUNNUUUUGUACAGGGAUAAACCUUUCCACGUGUGGAAAGCUGAAGGUACUGUACGAAUAAGCACCGGCUAACUCCGUGCCAGCAGCCGCGGUAAUACGGAGGGUGCAAGCGUUAUCCGGAUUUAUUGGGUUUAAAGGGUCCGUAGGCGGAUCUGUAAGUCAGUGGUGAAAUCUCACAGCUUAACUGUGAAACUGCCAUUGAUACUGCAGGUCUUGAGUAAGGUAGAAGUGGCUGGAAUAAGUAGUGUAGCGGUGAAAUGCAUAGAUAUUACUUAGAACACCAAUUGCGAAGGCANNUNACUAUGUCUUAA
This 411-nucleotide ribosomal RNA is filed under the name Chryseobacterium hagamense. Its description in RNAcentral is "partial 16S ribosomal RNA". It matches the Rfam family "Bacterial small subunit ribosomal RNA", at positions 331 to 739 of the family's 1533-position model. Lineage: Bacteria; Pseudomonadati; Bacteroidota; Flavobacteriia; Flavobacteriales; Weeksellaceae. The record is from RNAcentral.